CCCUAUCCGUCGUGGGCGUAGGAAAUUUGAGAGGAGCUGUCCUUAGUACGAGAGGACCGGGAUGGACAUACCUCUGGUGUACCAGUUGUCGUGCCAACGGCAUAGCUGGGUAGCUAUGUAUGGACGGGAUAAGUGCUGAACGCAUCUAAGCAUGAAGCCCCCCUCAAGAUGAGAUUUCCCAACUUCGGUUAUAAGAUCCCUCAGAGAUGAUGAGGUUAAUAGGUUCGAGGUGGAAGCGUGGUGACA
RNAcentral lists this ribosomal RNA (246 nucleotides) under Salmonella enterica subsp. enterica serovar Typhimurium. Its description in RNAcentral is "partial 23S ribosomal RNA". It matches the Rfam family "Bacterial large subunit ribosomal RNA", at positions 2636 to 2883 of the family's 2925-position model. Lineage: Bacteria; Pseudomonadati; Pseudomonadota; Gammaproteobacteria; Enterobacterales; Enterobacteriaceae. The record is from RNAcentral.